UACGGAGGAUGCGAGCGUUAUCCGGAUUUACUGGGUGUAAAGGGCGUGUAGGCGGGACUGCAAGUCAGAUGUGAAACCCAUGGGCUCAACCCAUGGCCUGCAUUUGAAACUGUAGUUCUUGAGUGAUGGAGAGGCAGGCGGAAUUCCGUGUGUAGCGGUGAAAUGCGUAGAUAUACGGAGGAACACCAGUGGCGAAGGCGGCCUGCUGGACUGUAACUGACGCUGAGGCAUGAGAGCAUGGGGAGCAAACAGG
RNAcentral lists this ribosomal RNA (253 nucleotides) under uncultured Oscillospira sp. Its description in RNAcentral is "partial 16S ribosomal RNA". It matches the Rfam family "Bacterial small subunit ribosomal RNA", at positions 524 to 776 of the family's 1533-position model. Lineage: Bacteria; Bacillati; Bacillota; Clostridia; Eubacteriales; Oscillospiraceae. The record is from RNAcentral.